CCUACGGGCGGCAGCAGUGGGGAAUCUUGCACAAUGGGGGAAACCCUGAUGCAGCGACGCCGCGUGAGUGAAGAAGUAAUUCGUUAUGUAAAGCUCUAUCAGCAGGGAAGAAAAUGACGGUACCUGAGUAAGUAGCCCCGGCUAACUACGUGCCAGCAGCCGCGGUAAUACGUAGGGGGCAAGCGUUAUCCGGAUUUACUGGGUGUAAAGGGAGCGUAGACGGCAGUGCAAGUCUGCAGGGAAAGGCGGGGGCACACCCCCCGGACUGCUCUGGAAACUGUACGGCGGGAGUGCAGGAGAGGUAAGUGGAAUUCCUAGUGUAGCGGUGAAAUGCGUAGAGAGUAGGAGGAACACCAGUGGCGAAGGCGGCUUACUGGACUGUAACUGACGUUGAGGCUCGAAAGCGUGGGGAGCAAACAGGAUUAGAUACCCUAGUAGUC
Molecule: ribosomal RNA, 440 nt
Filed under: uncultured bacterium
Lineage: Bacteria
Description: partial 16S ribosomal RNA
Rfam family: Bacterial small subunit ribosomal RNA
Source: RNAcentral